This 301-nucleotide ribosomal RNA is filed under the name uncultured bacterium. Its description in RNAcentral is "partial 16S ribosomal RNA". It matches the Rfam family "Bacterial small subunit ribosomal RNA", at positions 509 to 807 of the family's 1533-position model. The record is from RNAcentral.
CAGUAGCCGCGGGAAUACGGAGGGGGCUAGCGUUGUUCGGAAUUACUGGGCGUAAAGCGCACGUAGGCGGCUAUGUAAGUUAGAGGUGAAAGCCCGGAGCUCAACUCCGGAAUUGCCUUUAAGACUGCCGAGCUAGCAGGUGAGAGAGGUAAGUGGAAUUCCGAGUGUAGAGGUGAAAUUCGUAGAUAUUCGGAAGAACACCAGUGGCGAAGGCGGCUUACUGGCUCAUACUGGACGCUGAGGUGCGAAAGCGUGGGGAGCAAACAGGAUUAGAUACCCGGGUAGUCCCUGUCUCUUAUAC